This 251-nucleotide ribosomal RNA is filed under the name uncultured bacterium. RNAcentral describes it as "partial 16S ribosomal RNA". It matches the Rfam family "Bacterial small subunit ribosomal RNA", at positions 524 to 774 of the family's 1533-position model. The record is from RNAcentral.
UACGUAGGGAGCAAGCGCUAUCCGGAAUUAUUGGGUGUAAAGGGUGCGUAGACGGGAAUUUAAGUUAGUUGUGAAAUCCCUAGGCUCAACUGAGGAACUGCAACUAAAACUGGAUUUCUUGAGUGCUGGAGAGGAAAGCGGAAUUCCUAGUGUAGCGGUGAAAUGCGUAGAUAUUAGGAGGAACACCAGUGGCGAAGGCGGCUUUCUGGACAGUAACUGACGUUGAGGCACGAAAGUGUGGGGAGCAAACA